Molecule: transfer RNA, 65 nt
Filed under: Dipodomys ordii (Ord's kangaroo rat)
Lineage: Eukaryota; Metazoa; Chordata; Mammalia; Rodentia; Heteromyidae
Rfam family: tRNA
About the family: Transfer RNA (tRNA) molecules are approximately 80 nucleotides in length. Their secondary structure includes four short double-helical elements and three loops (D, anti-codon, and T loops).
Source: Rfam by way of RNAcentral
GGUGGCUCAGUGGUAGAGUGCUUGCCUUGCAUGCAUGAGGCCCUGGGAUCAAUUCCUUGGCACCA